Anser cygnoides (Swan goose) is the source of this 1656-nucleotide long non-coding RNA. The record is from Ensembl. Lineage: Eukaryota; Metazoa; Chordata; Aves; Anseriformes; Anatidae.
AAAAAAAAAAAAAAAAAAAAGAAAGAAAGAAAGAAAAAGAAAAGAAAUACCAACAAAUGGAUAAAGUGAGAGAAAAUUAAAAAAAAAUGGGAAAAGAAAAAAAAAUUAAUGGGAAAAAGAAACGGGGGAAAAGGAAGGAAAAAAACAUGGGGAAAGUGCCCCUCACCUCUUACCUUCUCCUCUCCAAUCCGCAGCUAUAGUCCCGCAGAUUGUAAAAUAUCCAAAAUAUGUCCACGUCUUUUGUGACUUUCCCCGCUCAGCCGCGCUCCUUCCCUCCCGCUCGCCCUCCCUCCAGACCCGACUGCAACGGGCUCACAACCCGCGCCCCGUAAUUGAUUCAAUGUUAUAGUCCAUCCUUCCAAAACUAAUCAUUUGCUUUAAGUAAAUAGCUGUCAGGAAAUGAAGCCCCCCUCCGGCCCCUUCGCAAUAAGAGCCGCCCUGGCUCGCCCGGCGCCCCCAGCCCCGCGGCCGGAGGCGGGCGCAGGAGGGAGGCUCUUACGGAGGCAGGGGGGCCAAUCUCAGCCUCCAGAUUUCAGCAGCCUCGCAGGGGAGGGGGAGGCUGGCCAUAUGGCAGGGGGAGGAAAAGGGGGGAAUCGGAGAGUUUUGCACUGCGGGGGGAAGGAAAAAAAAAAAUAAAGGGGGAAAAAAAAAAAAAACUUUGGUGAAAAGUCAGAGGGCUCCCAAUUUCGUGAAUGAGCCUCCUCCCUCAGCCCCUCCAGGACGGUGGGUCACGGUGUGAGGUUAUGGACGGGGAGCUGGAGCUGGAAACGAAUUGGCGGCUUCCUCGUGUCCUUUGUGCGCUCCUGAGCGCGGGCACGGGCCGCAGAGCAGCACGGAGGGCUGCGAGGCAGCCAGAAGCAGGAGGCACCGGGCGAGAGGGGCAGAGCCGCACCGCUCGGGUUUAUGAAUGAAACCACAACGAAAGGCAGCCGUCGCCGGGAGCCGGCCGCCCCAAACCCUGCUGCUGUGCCGGGACCGGGGAAGCUCUUCUCAUCCUCUGUGCCCUCGGCCCGGGAGCCCGGUCUGAGCUCGCCCGGGGCCCCGACGGCUUUAGCCGGGGACCUCCGCCUCGCCGUGGCGACCAGCGCUGGCCGGGGGAGGUGGCGGGGGCUGCCCCCGUCGCCCCGCUGCGGGGUCCCGGAGCCGAGCCCGGCGAGCGGGGCGAUGCUGCGGCCGCGGGAGAGGGGGCAGUGCAGCCCCAGGAACCGAGCGGGGACGGAGGCCCCUGGCUCCAGGGAGGGCUCCGGCCUCGGAGCCGAGCCCCCGGGCUUCUCCCGCUUCCUCCCUUCCCGCUCCGGCCCGCCUCCCUCCCUUUUUUCUUUUUAUUACUAUUUUUUUCCGUUUAGGGCUAAACAAAAGUUUUGUCCUCAAAGUCAAGCGGCAGGAUGCGGUGGUUUUUCUCCCUCCCUAAACCAAGGAGAGCUGAGCCUCCGGAGCGAAGAUGCCCCGAAGGGAGUGAGGGCAGGCAGGAGAAGAACAGCGUGCUCAGGCCGAGGGCCCUGUGGCGAGGCUCGCAGGGUCCCCAGCCUUUUUGCACGCUCUCCGCUAGUGCAUCCUCAGCUCGGAACAUAUAGAAGAAGAAGAAAAAACAACCAAGAGAAUGACCGAAGUCCCCCUGGAGGUGUGACUCUCCCUACAAAUGCCAGGGCUAUCUGA